This 460-nucleotide ribosomal RNA is filed under the name uncultured bacterium. Its description in RNAcentral is "partial 16S ribosomal RNA". It matches the Rfam family "Bacterial small subunit ribosomal RNA", at positions 338 to 795 of the family's 1533-position model. The record is from RNAcentral.
CCUACGGGAGGCUGCAGUGAGGAAUAUUGGUCAAUGGGCGCGAGCCUGAACCAGCCAAGUAGCGUGAAGGAUGACUGCCCUACGGGUUGUAAACUUCUUUUAUAAAGGAAUAAAGUGAGGCACGUGUGCCUUUUUGUAUGUACUUUAUGAAUAAGGAACGGCUUACUCCGUGCCAGCAGCCGCGGUAAUACGGAGGAUCCGAGCGUUAUCCGGAUUUAUUGGGUUUAAAGGGAGCGUAGAUGGGUUGUUAAGUCAGUUGUUAAAGUUUGCGGCUUAACCGUAAAAUUGCAAUUGAUACUGGCAGUCUUGAGUACAGUUGAGGUAGGCGGAAUUCGUGGUGUAGCGGUGAAAUGCGUAGAUAUCACGAAGAACCCCGAUUGCGAAGGCAGCUUACUAAACUGUGACUGACAUUGAUGCUCGAAAGUGUGGGUAUCAAACAGGAUUAGAUACCCCUGUAGUC